GAUGAACGCUGGCGGCGUGCCUAAUACAUGCAAGUCGAGCGAACAGAUGAGGAGCUUGCUCCUCUGACGUUAGCGGCGGACGGGUGAGUAACACGUGGAUAACCUACCUAUAAGACUGGGAUAACUUCGGGAAACCGGAGCUAAUACCGGAUAAUAUAUUGAACCGCAUGGUUCAAUAGUGAAAGACGGUUUUGCUGUCACUUAUAGAUGGAUCCGCGCCGCAUUAGCUAGUUGGUAAGGUAACGGCUUACCAAGGCAACGAUGCGUAGCCGACCUGAGAGGGUGAUCGGCCACACUGGAACUGAGACACGGUCCAGACGCCUACGGGAGGCAGCAGUAGGGAAUCUUCCGCAAUGGGCGAAAGCCUUACGGAGCAACGCCGCGUGAGUGAUGAAGGUCUUCGGAUCGUAAAACUCUGUUAUUAGGGAAGAACAAAUGUGUAAGUAACUAUGCACGUCUUGACGGUACCUAAUCAGAAAGCCACGGCUAACUACGUG
RNAcentral lists this ribosomal RNA (497 nucleotides) under uncultured bacterium. Its description in RNAcentral is "partial 16S ribosomal RNA". It matches the Rfam family "Bacterial small subunit ribosomal RNA", at positions 28 to 507 of the family's 1533-position model. The record is from RNAcentral.